GAUGAACGCUGGCGGCGUGCCUAAUACAUGCAAGUCGAGCGAACAGACGAGGAGCUUGCUCCUCUGACGUUAGCGGCGGACGGGUGAGUAACACGUGGAUAACCUACCUAUAAGACUGGGAUAACUUCGGGAAACCGGAGCUAAUACCGGAUAAUAUAUUGAACCGCAUGGUUCAAUAGUGAAAGACGGUUUUGCUGUCACUUAUAGAUGGAUCCGCGCCGCAUUAGCUAGUUGGUAAGGUAACGGCUUACCAAGGCAACGAUGCGUAGCCGACCUGAGAGGGUGAUCGGCCACACUGGAACUGAGACACGGUCCAGACUCCUACGGGAGGCAGCAGUAGGGAAUCUUCCGCAAUGGGCGAAAGCCUGACGGAGCAACGCCGCGUGAGUGAUGAAGGUCUUCGGAUCGUAAAGCUCUGUUAUUAGGAAAGAACAAAUGUGUAAGUAACUAUGCACGUCUUGACGGUACCUAAUCAGAAAGCCACGGCUAACUACGUG
RNAcentral lists this ribosomal RNA (497 nucleotides) under uncultured bacterium. RNAcentral describes it as "partial 16S ribosomal RNA". It matches the Rfam family "Bacterial small subunit ribosomal RNA", at positions 28 to 507 of the family's 1533-position model. The record is from RNAcentral.